Molecule: long non-coding RNA, 1405 nt
Organism: Passer domesticus (house sparrow)
Lineage: Eukaryota; Metazoa; Chordata; Aves; Passeriformes; Passeridae
Exons: 5
Source: RefSeq, a predicted model, not a curated record
GGCAGGGGAAGGUGAGUGAGUGACUCUCCUAGGUGCCUGGCGUUGGUCAAGUGUCAAACCACAACAAGCACCAUAGGGUCAAAAUGUUUUCAUGUAGAGGAAGAUACAAGAGAAGAACAUCAGGCUGUGUGGAACCAUGACUUGGAGAUCAGUAAUACUGUCUGUCUCCAGCUGAACCAGUUAAGCCAGUUGAACCACCAAGGUCACUGCAUUACCCACCCUGCUGCUGUUUCCACCAAACACCAAGAAACUAGAACUGCUUAGGUGCCCACAUGGCCUACUGUAGGGCCAUGGAAAUUCACUGACGUUUCUUGACUGGAUUGUUUCAAAGGUCUCCACACAAACUUCUCUUCUCUAGGCUGAAAAGCCCCAAAUUGAGAGAGAGGUCAGUAAUGGAGAUACCAUCUCAUGCUGACAUCUGAGCUCAAGCACUGGUAAGCUGGCAACAGCCCUGCUCUCCAGCCACCAAAACUCCUCCCAGCAUACAAGCAAGGGCCAACACUGGCUCUGAGAAGUGCUCGUAAAGCUGCAAAGAAGCUACUCUCCUGAGGAUGGGCAGAAGCUGGAGGAGGUAACCUUGAGAAGCCUAGCCUAAAUUCAAGAUGGGUGUAUGUAAAGAGUGAGUCCACUUUCUUGUGCAGCAUCUAGCAAGUUUGCAUAAACCACAGUACAGCUGUUGGCAGAAGUACAAGACUUGGUGGAGCUAUAAAAGCAGCCUAGACACAUUCAGGUAGAAAAUUGCCUAACCUUUCAAAAGAAAAAUUUUUAUGAUGAAGAGGACAGGAGAAAAAUGGGAAAUGAACAGGAAAAACAUGGAAAAUGAGCACUAGCAUGGAAGCAAUGAUCAAUCAUUAAAAAUGAGAGGAAUUUCUGUGACUGAAGGAAAAGCAGCAGGAAAAGGUGGCCUGGGGAAGCUGUUCACAGAAGAAUACGUUUUUCAAGCAGAUAAUGCGGAAAGCAACCAAAUACUUAGUCUUUAGACUGCAUCUCCAAACAUAGGGCCCACCUUUUGCUCUUACAAGAGAGAUAGCUUUAAGCUGGGUAACAAGAGAUCAAACAUCCUUCUAAUAUUUUGACAAUAACCAAGAACGACCAUUUGGAGUGGUUUUUAUUUGCAUUAAUAUCCAGUCUUUUUAAAUGGUCUUGGCAUGCUCUUGGCCUCAGGAACUUCCUGUGAUAAUCAGUACCAGGACUGAAUCAUGCAUUGCUGUCAAAAGAUAUUUCUUGAACCAAUAUUAUUUUGCCAGUUUGUUUUAAGGUCAUUAAAUAUUCUUUUUUUCCUAAUGCACUUUAUUUAUAAUUAUGAAGAUCUCAUAAUUAUCAAAGUAAAAAUUAGAGUGCAUUUGCAAAAGAAUAAAGUUUGAGUUGUGGUUUAUGUAAAAACCUAAUUACAGAAGUAAUUACA